AUUUUCUACCGGUCAUCUCCUUCCACAUCGAACCGCGGCGGAUGAGGUCCAACAAAUCCCCAACCAUAAUGGCUUGCCAAUGGCGACGGCGGUGUAGAUCUUGUACCUAGAUGGGCGACCUUGGCUACUCGAGGAAGCUUUCCAUCUCUGCCCCUAGAUGUACCUAGCUGGACGGCCUUGGCUAUUGGAGGAAUCUUGAUCGUCUCGUCGCCGGUGGUCGGGCUGCCCGGGCGGACCUCUCCUCUGCUGCGCCGCGACGCUGGCCGAGCCAAUCUCCAGAACACAAUGUCUGGUUUGGGUAUGCUGGAUAGAUCACAGCUCGUCGACUACUAAGCUCGCCCCCGCUGUUCUGUUGGUGCAUCUCAAUCUGAAAUUGAGGGAAGUAGUGCGAUGUCACCUUUAGGAGGGCCCAUAGUUCCAAAAAUCGCAAACUGUGUACCAACACUAUCAGACUUUGUUUGGUGUCAUCUUUCCAUCACAUAGACCUCGAUGAGCAAGAAGCACCAGCACCAAAGAUGCUCAUGUCCAAGUGGACAGGUUACGAGGAUAGAGCAAGUCUUGCUUGAUGCCAAAACCCCUGUAACUGAGUGGUAUUUCCACUCUGCUUUGCACUGAGUUUGUAUCAGAGUUGUAGAUCAUGGACCAAUCCUUGCUGAGAAUUGAAUCCAUAAUUAUGUAAUUCUGCAUAUGGUAGUUGUUAACCUGUUGUAUGCAUGUUUCUACUUAUUAAUUCUGCUUGUAAUAAGCAUAGAUUAUUGCCGGAUCUUGGUUGCUUCCCUUCCUGCCAUGCUUUUGCUAUUGGAAAGAAUUAUUGUGUUCCUGCUUAUAAGAGCUACUGUGUUUGGAUGAUGGCUAUUUUAAAAAAAUGGAUGAGGCAUGUUUCUACUUGAGUCACCUUUGUUCAUUUGGUUAAUGAUUUUGCCUGGGAUGAUCCAGUUUGACAUGUACUUGAAUGAGAUAUCUCAAAUUUCAUGUGUAUAC
Triticum aestivum (bread wheat) is the source of this 981-nucleotide long non-coding RNA. RefSeq lists it as uncharacterized. The record is from RefSeq and is a predicted model, not a curated record. NCBI's taxonomy places the organism in Eukaryota, Viridiplantae, Streptophyta, Magnoliopsida, Poales, Poaceae. The transcript has 3 exons.